This 1450-nucleotide ribosomal RNA is filed under the name Stenotrophomonas hibiscicola. RNAcentral describes it as "bacterial SSU rRNA". It matches the Rfam family "Bacterial small subunit ribosomal RNA". Lineage: Bacteria; Pseudomonadati; Pseudomonadota; Gammaproteobacteria; Lysobacterales; Lysobacteraceae. The record is from RNAcentral.
AGGGGUAACACAUGCAGGUCGAACGGGAGCUCAGGAUGCGGCUGGAUCCUUGGGUUUCGAGUGGCGGCAGGGUGAGAAAUGCAUCGGAAUCCACUCUGUCUUGGGGGAUAACGUAGGGAAACUUACGCUAAUACUCCUCACCACCUACGGGUGGAAGCAGGGGAUCUUCGGACCUUGUGCGAUUGAAUGACCCGAUGUCGGACUAGCUAGUUGGCGUCGUUAAGGCCCACCAACGCGACGAUCCCUAUCUGGUCUGACAGGAUGAUCUGCCACACAGGAACUGAGACACGGUCAAGACCCCGACAGGAGGCAGCAGUGGGGAAUAUUGGACAAUGGGCGCAAGCCACAGCCCGCCAUACCGCAUGCGUGAACAAGGAUUGCGCCUUGUAAAGCCCUUUUGUUGAGAAAGAAAUGCAACUGCUUCAUAACCAGAUGGGAUGACCGUACCCAAAGAAUAACCACAGGCUAACUUCGUGCCACCAGCCGCGGUAAUACGAAGGCGGUGCGAACGUUGCUCGUAAUUACUGGGCGCAAAGCGUGCGUACGUGGUCGUCUAACUCCGUUGUGAAAGCCCUCGGCUCAACCUGGGAACUGCAAUGGAUACUGGGCGACUAGAAUGUGGUAGAGGGUAGCGGAAUUCCUGGUGUAGCAGUGAAAUGCGUAGAGAUCAGGAGGAACAUCCAUGGCGAAGGCAGCUACCUGGACCAACAUUGACACUGAAGCACGAAAGCGUGGGGGAGCAAACAGGAUUAGAUACCCUGGUAGUCCACGCCCUAAAAGAUGCGACACUGGAUGUUGGGUGCAAUUUGGCACCCAGUAUCGAAGAUAACGCGUUAAGUUCGCUGCCUGGGGAGUACGGUCGCAAGACUGAAACUCAAAGGAAUUGACGGGGGCCCGCACAAGCGGUGGAGUAUGUGGUAUAAUUCUGAUGCAACGCGAAGAACGCUUACCUGGCCUUGACAUGUCGAGAACUUGUCCAGAGAUGGAUCGGUGCCUUCGGCAACUCGAACACAGGUGCUGCAUGGCUGUCGUCAGCUCGUGUUUUGAGAUGUUGUGUGAAGUCCCGCAACGAGGGCAACCCCUGUCAUUAGUUGCCAACACAUAAUGGUGGGAACUUUAAGGAGACCGCCGGUGACAAACCGGAGGAAGGUGGGGAUGACGUCAAGUCAUCAUGGCCCUUACGGCCUGGGCUACACACGUGUUACAAUGGUAGGGACAGAGGGCUGCAAGCCGGUGAGGGUAAGCCAAUCCCAGAAACCCUAUCUCAGUCCGGAUUGGAGUCUGCAACUCGACUCCUUGAAGUCGGAAUCGCUAGUAAUCGCAGAUCAGCAGAGCUGCGGUGAAUACGUUCCCGGGCCUUGUACACACCGCCGGACACACCAUGGGAGUUUGUUGCACCAGAAGCAGGUAGCUUAACCUUCGGGAGGGCGAUCCUUGCUCACGGUGCGGC